UUGAAGGAAUAGACUCCCAAAGUCUCACCACAGAAAUGAACCACAAAAUUGCUGCUUCUUCUGCUUCCAGCAGGUGGUUUCCCAUUGAACAGAGAAGUUGCUGCAAUAGCUACUGACUUCAGAACAUUGUCACCUCUGCUACAAUCCACACCAGCAAAUGGAUGUGUUUGUUGUGCUUACCUUUCUGCAACUUAUCUCAGCUCAGAAGUCAAGUCUCUCACAAAAAUAGGCUUCUGAAGUUUGAAAUGAAUAGGCAAAGGUAAGUCAAACAUUUUUCAUAAUAAUGUUGACGUGAAUGAGACAAGAAUACAGGGUCUUUAUCAGUAUUUCUUUUUUAAUCUCAGAUUUCUGACAUUCGUUUAAAACCAUCUUUUUUUUUUUUGUAACUGAUGAGUUCUGCAUGUAUAGUCUGCUAAUGUGUGACUAAUACACUAAGUGCUUCUUCCCCAGUGAAGAGAACAAGAUCAUUUGGAAGAGAUUCAAUUCCAAACCUCCUCUUAUCAGGUUUGCUUUAUUAGCUUUGGUGUCUGGAUAUACACAGUACACCUUAUUCCUGCUGCAAGUGGAAUUGUUUGCUUGGAGAGGGAAACAUUGUUUGCCCUUGAGAAACCUUCAAAGUGAGUGAAAAUUGCUGUGAUGCAAACUCUGGAAAGCAAUUUGUAAACCUUCGGGCCAUCGGCGUUGCUAUUUCACAUCUUAGUAUCUGUCCUCCCUAUUCCAUCACAUUUUUUAUCCACCUUGUUAUGUCAGAAGAAUUAUUUUGUUUUCUAUAGUAGGCACAGGGAUAUAAUCUGGGGAGAAUAUCAAAAUGCCAAAGCCAUAUAAUCCAGUAAGUGAGGACAAUGUUAGAAUUUAAGGAAAAUUCCAUAGAAAUGAUAUUUCACUGUUAAGCUUAUGCCCCUCCCCCCCCUUUUCCUUAAGUUGUUUUCCUAGUAACCUACUGGCUAAUAUCUUUUUUUAUUUCCACACUUCAUGUAACUAAUAUCCCACACUGUUAUUCUGCUAAGGAUUACCUGUCCCUUUUUCAAAAGCAUAUGUAGUUUAAGGAAAACAUUCUGUCUGUUAAAUAGUGCUGAGUAAAUGUUUAAUGAAUGGAACUGAGUGAAAAAAUCCCCAAAGAUUCCUGGGCACAGAUUAUUUAGCCUUGGAGUUCUCAGUCAGUUCCCUAAUACAAAUGCUCUGUCUAAAUUCUUUACCUCAGGGUAGAGUCUUAAUUUUUACUGGGGGAAGGGAGAGGUAAAUAGCCAAUGUAUUGAUUUAAAG
RNAcentral lists this long non-coding RNA (1263 nucleotides) under Felis catus (domestic cat). RNAcentral's name for it is "lncRNA (ENSFCAG00000050880.1)". The record is from RNAcentral. Lineage: Eukaryota; Metazoa; Chordata; Mammalia; Carnivora; Felidae.